Molecule: ribosomal RNA, 253 nt
Filed under: uncultured bacterium
Lineage: Bacteria
Description: partial 16S ribosomal RNA
Rfam family: Bacterial small subunit ribosomal RNA
Source: RNAcentral
UACGUAGGGUGCAAGCGUUAAUCGGAAUUACUGGGCGUAAAGCGUGCGCAGGCGGUUUUGUAAGUUUGUCGUGAAAUCCCCGGGCUCAACCUGGGAAUUGCGAUGAAGACUGCAAGGCUAGAAUCUGGCAGAGGGGGGUAGAAUUCCACGUGUAGCAGUGAAAUGCGUAGAGAUGUGGAGGAACACCGAUGGCGAAGGCAGCCCCCUGGGCUAACACUGACGCUCAUGCACGAAAGCGUGGGGAGCAAACAGG